RNAcentral lists this ribosomal RNA (459 nucleotides) under uncultured bacterium. RNAcentral's name for it is "partial 16S ribosomal RNA". It matches the Rfam family "Bacterial small subunit ribosomal RNA", at positions 338 to 795 of the family's 1533-position model. The record is from RNAcentral.
CCUACGGGAGGCAGCAGUGAGGAAUAUUGGUCAAUGGGCGGGAGCCUGAACCAGCCAAGCCGCGUGAGGGAAGAAGGUCCAGCGUAUCGUAAACCUCUUUUGUCAGGGAACAAAGGCGGGGACUAGUCCCCGGAUGAGGGUACCUGAAGAAAAAGCAUCGGCUAACUCCGUGCCAGCAGCCGCGGUAAUACGGAGGAUUCGAGCGUUAUCCGGAUUUAUUGGGUUUAAAGGGUGCGCAGGCGGCCUGUUACGUCAGCGGUAAAAGCCCGGGGCUCAACCCCGGCGAGCCGUUGAAACUGGCGGGCUGGAGUUGGAGAGAAGUACGCGGAAUGCGCGGUGUAGCGGUGAAAUGCUUAGAUAUCGCGCAGAACCCCGAUUGCGAAGGCAGCGUACCGGCUCCACACUGACGCUGAGGCACGAAAGCGUGGGUAGCGAACAGGAUUAGAUACCCGAGUAGUC